AUUGAACGCUGGCGGCAUGCCUUACACAUGCAAGUCGAGCGCGAAAGGGGGCAACCCCGAGUAGAGCGGCGGACGGGUGAGUAACGCAUCGGAACGUGCCCAGUAGUGGGGGACAACCUCGAGAAAUCGAGGCUAAUACCGCAUACGACCCACGGGUGAAAGCGGGGGACCGCAAGGCCUCGCGCUAUUGGAGCGGCCGAUGUCCGAUUAGCUAGUUGGCGGGGUAAGAGCCCACCAAGGCGACGACCGGUAGCUGGUCUGAGAGGACGACCAGCCACACUGGGACUGAGACACGGCCCAGACUCCUACGGGAGGCAGCAGUGGGGAAUUUUGGACAAUGGGGGCAACCCUGAUCCAGCCAUGCCGCGUGCGGGAAGAAGGCCU
This 384-nucleotide ribosomal RNA is filed under the name uncultured bacterium. RNAcentral describes it as "bacterial SSU rRNA". It matches the Rfam family "Bacterial small subunit ribosomal RNA", at positions 29 to 417 of the family's 1533-position model. The record is from RNAcentral.